This 317-nucleotide ribosomal RNA is filed under the name uncultured bacterium. RNAcentral's name for it is "bacterial SSU rRNA". It matches the Rfam family "Bacterial small subunit ribosomal RNA", at positions 28 to 334 of the family's 1533-position model. The record is from RNAcentral.
GAUGAACGCUAGCGACAGGCUUAACACAUGCAAGUCGAGGGGCAGCGGGGGAGUAGCAAUACUCCCGCCGGCGACCGGCGCACGGGUGAGUAACACGUAUGAAACCUGCCCGUAGCAGGGGGAUAAGCGGAAGAAAUUCCGUCUAAUACCGCGUAACAACCCAUGGAGGCAUCUCCGUGGGUUUAAAGGAAGCGAUUCCGGCUACGGAUGGUCAUGCGUCGCAUUAGCUUGGUGGCGGGGUAACGGCCCACCAAGGCGACGAUGCGGAGGGGUUCUGAGAGGAAGGUCCCCCACACUGGUACUGAGACACGGACCAG